This 531-nucleotide ribosomal RNA is filed under the name Cylindrocarpon sp. MD-16. RNAcentral's name for it is "eukaryotic LSU rRNA". The stretch from base 153 to 306 matches the Rfam family "5.8S ribosomal RNA". Lineage: Eukaryota; Fungi; Ascomycota; Sordariomycetes; Hypocreales; Nectriaceae. The record is from RNAcentral.
UUGUGUCGAGAGAUGACAUCCUGGGGGCACUCCAACCCCUGUGACAUACCUAUUUGUUGCCUCGGCGGUGCCUGUUCCGACAGCCCGCCAGAGGACCCCAAACCCUGAUUACAUUUAAGAAGUCUUCUGAGUAAACCGAUUAAAUAAAUCAAAACUUUCAACAACGGAUCUCUUGGUUCUGGCAUCGAUGAAGAACGCAGCGAAAUGCGAUAAGUAAUGUGAAUUGCAGAAUUCAGUGAAUCAUCGAAUCUUUGAACGCACAUUGCGCCCGCUAGUAUUCUGGCGGGCAUGCCUGUCCGAGCGUCAUUUCAACCCUCAAGCCCCCGGGCUUGGUGUUGGGGAUCGGCGAGCCUCCGCGCCCGCCGUCCCCUAAAUCUAGUGGCGGUCUCGCUGUAGCUUCCUCUGCGUAGUAGCACACCUCGCACUGGGAAACAGCGCGGCCACGCCGUUAAACCCCCAACUUCUGAACGUUUGACCUCGGAUCAGGUAGGAAUACCCGCUGAACUUAAGCAUAUCAAAAGCCCGGAGGAA